UACGUAGGGGGCGAGCGUUGUCCGGAUUCAUUGGGCGUAAAGAGCUCGUAGGCGGCUUGGUUAGUUGGGUGUGAAACCUCCAGGCUUAACCUGGAGACGCCACUCAAUACUGCCAUGGCUAGAGUCCGGUAGGGGACCACGGAAUUCCUGGUGUAGCGGUGAAAUGCGCAGAUAUCAGGAGGAACACCGGUGGCGAAGGCGGGUCUCUGGGCCGAUACUGACGCUGAGGAGCGAAAGCGUGGGGAGCAAACAGG
This 254-nucleotide ribosomal RNA is filed under the name uncultured bacterium. Its description in RNAcentral is "partial 16S ribosomal RNA". It matches the Rfam family "Bacterial small subunit ribosomal RNA", at positions 524 to 776 of the family's 1533-position model. The record is from RNAcentral.